CCGUUUCCGAGUUUCCGCCUCCGCUCGCCUCCGUAGCUCUAGCUCCUCCGCCAUCGUCGUCCGCUGCAUGUCCACCUCUGCAGGUAAUUCCUCCGUCUUUGAAUUUGAAGUUUGCUGAAUCGGAAUCGAAGAUUCUGAAAUAGUAUAGUAUACUCGUAGUUUGAAUUGGUCAACCUGCACCUCAUUGUGACUUGUAACUGUAAAAUGUGGAAAUGAUUCUAGGUUAAACUAAUGCACUUGCAAUUCCUUGAUUGGAUGGUUCCAGAUUUACCAACAGUGGCAGAGACGAAGC
RNAcentral lists this long non-coding RNA (292 nucleotides) under Linum usitatissimum (flax). RNAcentral's name for it is "long non-coding RNA (LUSI_LNC000919)". Lineage: Eukaryota; Viridiplantae; Streptophyta; Magnoliopsida; Malpighiales; Linaceae. The record is from RNAcentral.